UAACAGACGCCACACGGCUUCGUUGCUGC
This 29-nucleotide small RNA is filed under the name Bombyx mori (domestic silkworm). Its description in RNAcentral is "ovarian small RNA-2845". Lineage: Eukaryota; Metazoa; Arthropoda; Insecta; Lepidoptera; Bombycidae. The record is from RNAcentral.